RNAcentral lists this ribosomal RNA (59 nucleotides) under Dermatocarpon americanum. RNAcentral describes it as "partial 28S ribosomal RNA". It matches the Rfam family "Eukaryotic large subunit ribosomal RNA", at positions 1 to 58 of the family's 3401-position model. Lineage: Eukaryota; Fungi; Ascomycota; Eurotiomycetes; Verrucariales; Verrucariaceae. The record is from RNAcentral. RNAcentral also lists the same sequence under 1 other name.
UUGGCCUCGGAUCAGGUAGGGAUACCCGCUGAACUUAAGCAUAUCAAUAAGCGGAGGAA